RNAcentral lists this long non-coding RNA (5118 nucleotides) under Manihot esculenta (cassava). RNAcentral's name for it is "long non-coding RNA (MESC_LNC001077)". The record is from RNAcentral. Lineage: Eukaryota; Viridiplantae; Streptophyta; Magnoliopsida; Malpighiales; Euphorbiaceae.
UGGCUUACACAUUAAUUAUACUUUUGUUCUAAUUAUUUCUCAUGUGUGAUGGUAUCCUCUUCACGUGGUCUGCAAAAUGAAGGAAUAAUUCAAGCCAGAUAUCAUAUGAAAAAAAAAAAUAGAAAACAAGAUCAUCACAAUAGGACAAUCCUAGUACAUAUUUCAAUAUUAUCAAUGCAUGCAUUGAGGGUAUGAUAUGUACAUAAAGAAAUGUAAUAAUCAUUUUAUAGUUAUUUUGGUUGCAAAAUAAAAGAGAAUGUUUAAGAUAAUUGUAAUUCUAUAUUUAGUAUUUAGCACCUGCUCAGCUUACUGGUUAUGGUUAACUCAAGGUGGCUAGCAGUCAGCUGUUGGUACACAGCAGUUGCAGCUAAUUAUCAAGCUAUUGCUAAUUUUGGAAUUUAAAUUAUGAUUAACAUGUAAAAUGAAAGCCAAAAACAUGAUGUUUUUUUUUUACUAUUACAUGAAAAAAUAAUAUUUAUUAUCUGGAAAUAAAUUAAUUUAUAAUAUUAUUCUUAAAAAUUAUUGUAAUAUAAAUAUAAAUUGGAAAUAAAUAAUAAUAUUAGAUUUGAUAAUGACUAAAGAAACAAAAUAAACAAAACACACAAUACAUAAUACAAUUAGAGCCUUGCCCAUUAACAAAUGAGAAAGGAGGGAGGAUUAAGAAUAGAGCAUACAAUUUUUUUAAAAAGAACAAGACUGUUAGCAUGAAAAUCAAAAGAAGGAAAACAAGCUUUACAUAAUCAUGGCUAUAGCAUGACAAUUGAAAAAGGAAGAUGGGUUUUUUUAUAGGAUCAUGUCUAUGUAACUUGGCAAUUAAAUUACUUAUAUGUCUAUAAACAUCUAGUGCUUGUGUUCAAAGAGUAGAUUUUCUAUCAUUUAGUUAUUUUUUUCAAAUGUUGUUGUACAUAUAUACAAGCAUUUUCAAACAUAAUUACCAAAUGCCACAAACUCAGUGGUUAAGACUACUACCACCAAAUGCUAAUCCCAAACAAUGAACCAAACAGUGCCUCGUUAUUUGGUAGUGGUGUAAGCAACGAGAAAGAAGGUAACCAUAAGGGGUUGGGUUAGUGGUGGUGGUAGUGAUAGUUACAAAAGAGAUUGUUUAAGUAUUGAAGUAAAUAGAGUCCAGUUGUUUACAUAAAGUUUUGUAUACUAUUAAAUCCACGUCGGUUGUGAAAAUGGGUAAUGUGCCCCUUAUAUGGGCCAUAAACACUCCUCCCCCUUGAGCUAGCUUUUGGGGUGAGUUAGUCCAGAUCCAUAUUUAACAUGGUAUGAAAGCCUCUCCAUCCGAUGUUGGGCCUCCUAUAAAUAUAUCACGCACCAGUAAAAUUCUAGGCGUGAGGGCGUGUGUCGAAUCUCACAUCCGUUGUGGAAAGGGGUAAUGUGCCCUUUAUAUGGGCCAUAGGAACUCAAGGGCCCACAGGCACUCCUCCCCUUAAGCUAACUUUUGGAAUGAGUUAGGCCUAACCCAAAUUUAAGAUGGUAUCAGUGUCUCCCCAUCCGAUAUUGGACCUCCUAUAAAUGUCACGCACCAAUAAAAUUCUGGACGUGAGGGGGUGUGUUGAAUCCCACAUCGGUUGUGGAAAGAGGUAAUAUAUUCCUUAUAUGGGCCAUAGGCACUCCUCCCCCUUGAGCUAGCUUUCGGAGUGAGUUAAGUCUGACUCAAAUUUAACAUGAUAUAAGAGGCUCCCAUCCGAUGUUGGGCCUCCUAUAAAUAUGUCAUAUUAUAGUAAAAUUCUGGACGUGAGGGGUGUGUUGAAUCCCACAUCAGUUGUGGAAAGGGGUAAUGUGUCCCUUAUAUGGGCUAUAGGCACUCUUCCCCCCUUGAGCUAGUUUUUGGGUGAGUUAAACCUGGUCCAAAUUUAACAUAUACAAUAGGCAAUAAAAAGCAAUUGCGUACUUGCAUUACACUACAAAUAUUUGCUUUGUUCAAUCAAAUGAAUCAAUGAAUCUAACCUAGUAAUGUCAAUCGGUCUUCACCAGUUCAAUUUUAAAACAACAUGCAGACAUCCAACAGGCUGAACUGAACCGGAACUGGUUAGAAACUCACAAUUCCAGUUGAAGGUACAAGGGGAUCAAUUCCAAAACUGCGUGCCCCUUUGGAUUCCGAAUUUGGUUUGAUCAAAUCAAUGGUUGAUUUUUCUUUUCAAAAUUUUUUAUUUUCCACUAAAAAGAAAAUUCCACUUUUGGCCUAAUCUUGGUAUGGCAAUUUUGAUCAAUCUAGUUUUGCAUCACAUUUUGAUUUCAGUUUUGAACCAGUCUUUGUCAGGGUUACCUUUAUGCAUUCAACAGGCAAAGAACUAAUUCCCUUUUUCUUCACUUCCUUGGCUGGAAAGGAUUUUCCCUUGAGAAAACAUGAACACUAUUUAGGAGAAAGCUUUUGGUGGUAUGGUAUGGGUUUCUUAAGUAAUAAAUUUGUUUGGGAGCAAAGUUUUCUAAGGAUGAGCAGGUUGGAAUUAUCCAUUUACUUCCAUUAAAAGAUAACCUUUCAUUUAUUAAAGCUCACUGCUAGGAUAUCAUUUGCAGUUAGCAAUUUAGAUAUUUACCAUAGUAAAUAAUUUGCAGUCAGCAGUUACAACUGGGUGUAUUCUAGAGGCCCAAAACCAAGGAGCUACAAGGUGUAUUCUAGAAAAGGGAAGAAACAGAAUAUACAGGUGGGAGAGGUACAAUUGGCAACUUCUACAAAUGAUGGAAAAAUGCCACCUGGCUGGCAUCAGUUGCAAUAGAAGAUUCCUCUCCAGCAUUUACAGAAUGGGAUGGCAGGAUAAAGGCAUCUUAGGAAUCUUAAGCAUUCUCUAAGAAAACAAGAGAAGGGCAUAAUACCAUUCGCUGCACUGGAGAGUACUCCAAAAAGCUGAUUGCAGUCAUUUAGAGUUGGGCUAAUUACACCAAAAAAAAAAAAAAAAAAACCCUUACGGUUAUGUGCAUUUUUCAAGUGAGGGUUUGAGGUUAACUUUGUCACAAAAAGGACCACAUGCUUUUUGUUGCUAGCAAAAUAAGACUUCUCCAUUAACUCCAUUAAAUUUUGAUGGCGUUAAAUUAAAUAUUUAAUUAAAAAUAAUAUAAAUUUCAAAAAAAAAGUGCCUUGCUUUACAAUCAGGCCUAAGGUUCACUUUGGAGCAAAAAGAAUCAUGUAUUUUUGUCAUUAGCAAAGUAUGAAUUUUUCAUUAAUCUCAUUAAAUUUUGAUGAUAAGGUUUAAUUUAAAAUAAUAUUUAAUUAUACAUAUGAGUUCUAUUUGCAACUAUUAAAAAAUAAAAGAAAAGGUAUGUCUAAUUCAAGUCACCUUCAAAUCUACUCCAAUUAGUGAGCUGUCGAUGCUCAUAAGCUCGCUCAGAAGUGGAAACACUAUGUGCUAGCGAUUCCUAGGGUUUGGCUCCCAGUUGAACUCACUCUCUAGCUCUUUUAGCUUGUUUUUCUAUUGAUCCACCAUUUGGCUCCAAACUUAUCUAGCUAAUGAUUGUGGAUUGUCAUUUAAAAGGCUUAAAAAUCUCAUGUGCUGAAGAAAGGAAGAAUGAGGAAGGAAGUAGAUUAAUAGAGGUAGUUCACCGGUUCUUCUCAUUUUUGUUAAAUUUCUAAAUUUUUAUUUUAAAUAGGAUCUACUUUAAUCAUUAGAUAAACAUUUUAAUUAUUUAUUUAAUAUCCUAUCAUCAAAAAUCUAUAGUAUUAACAGAAAAGGCAUCACUUGGCUAAUCGCAAAAAUGUAUAGGUGUCUACUUUAUCACAAACUUAACCUUAGACCCAAAUUUGAAAAUGCACGUAACUAGGAUAGGUUUUUGUAAUUUUCCUUUUAGCGUUCUUGAUGUUCUAUUGAGCUUUAUUCCCGGUUUUUAUCAGUUUUUUCUUGCUGAUUUACUUGGGGUAGUGUUUGUGAGCAUGUUUCUGUAAUUAUUUUGCCAUGAAGAAUACAAUUUUAUUCCUUCCAAAUCCUCUUUAAACUUUAUUUUACACUCUUUACUCUAUUAGAUGCAACCAAGAAAUUCACAUUCAGAUGUUCAUAAAGCUUAUAAUUAUGUUUCAGUUUUAAGUAUGAUUUAUUCAGGAAGUUAUAGAAUUCUUACCUAGUGCUUUUAUUGUACUUUUAGAGUCGCCUUGCGUUCCUAUUUGAAUAACUUAGCUAUUGGUCCAUUUACUCAAGUCUCGAGUAAUUUUGGUAAGUUUUAGGGUUCUACUUGUAUGUUUAUUUGAAUAAAUAAGCUGCUGGUCCAUUAUUAAGUCUCAGGAUAUAAUCAUGACUUGUCCAAUGUGUUGAAGGAUCAACAAAUUAUCAAUUAUGAGUCACCUAAAUACCUAUUUAUUUAUUGUUCAGUUUGUUUAGUCAAUAAAAAUUUGAAAACUUAUGCUUUUUUGAAUUUUUGCAAUGCAACUCAACCCUGUAUGUGUGAUUCCAAUGGAAACCCAUGGUGUGAUGCAUAAGAAAACUUUUUAUGAAACCUAAACCAUAAUUUUACCAUUCAUAGCCACAAAUCUUCUCCAUUUGGUUAAUUUUGCUUCCCAAUUCUAUACUUUCAUAAUACCUUAUUUUCCACCUAAAUUCCAACUCAUUCAGGCUUCCAAUUUAGCUGUUAGUGAGCGGCCUGCAAGCUCCAACAUCAUCACCAUAUGCAUAACUUAAUAAUGCUCAUUGUUCUAACCUCAAAAUGCACAAGAUGCUAACCAGUCAUUUAAUGUGCAACUACGCAGUUCCCUUAAUGGAAGUGAACCAAUAUACGUAAAGACAGGAGAAGAGGACUAAGAUUUGAAAUUAUUAUUCCAAUGUAUACUUGAUACCACUGGAAACAUAACAACAUACUCAUAGAAGAAAUAUUACAUUUAAUCCCAAAUGGUGGUAAGCAUUUACCAACAAUAACAUUAUUUUCCAAUUCAUCAACAGGAUUGGAAAACAUACUGAUUAACAUGUCUUUGAUUUGUCAUUAAGGAACACACAAUAAUUUAAAAUUAAAUCAAAACUCAAAAAUGACUGUCAAGUGUUCCUUGAGAUUUAACAUACCUUUUAGCUCGUCUUUUGGUCUCAUCAACACCAAUGCAUGCCUUUAGCUCCUCAAUGCUCAAGAUGGCCCCAAGCUUAAAUUGUGAUAAAUUGCAACCAUCAAGCAAAUUAGGAGUUUUGACCAUUCCCG